This is a long non-coding RNA of Myotis brandtii (Brandt's bat), 739 nucleotides long. RefSeq lists it as uncharacterized. The transcript has 2 exons. Lineage: Eukaryota; Metazoa; Chordata; Mammalia; Chiroptera; Vespertilionidae. The record is from RefSeq and is a predicted model, not a curated record.
GCUUCAGGGAAGUCUGUCGGAAAUGUGUUAAAGGAACCCAUUUAAUAUUCCAGUCUCACAGGUCAUGGACUCACCUUGGCCAACAGACGGUCAGCAGACAGGAGCUGAGACUGAGCCCUGUGUCUGCCGCCCCCUCUUUGCUCUGCCGGCCCUUUUCCCCAAGGACCGCAGAGUGUGGAUGGCAGCUUUAUUUUUUUUAAUGUUCCCAUUACAAUUCUAAUGUUAAUAGAAAGAUAGAAUAUAUGCAUGCAUCCUAUUUUCUUUCUAUUAAUAUAGAUCCAGAGAGGUUAUAUAUCACCUGUAUAUGUAUAUGAAGAUUAUGAAUAAAUAUAACGUCUGUCAGCACAUAGAAACUCCACAAGGCUGGUGGGGACUUCCAGGGACAAGCCCUCAGCAAUGCCACCGAGUUCACAGUUUAUAUUACAAACACCAGGAAACAUGGACGCACGGCUGUGUCAGUCUCCGAUUGUUGCUGUGACAAAUUUCCACAAAUGUGACUUAGUGCAAAUGUAUCACCUUAGUUCUGGAGGUCAGAGAUCUACAAUGAGUCUCCAGGACUGUGUUCCUCCAGAAGGCUCUUGGGAGAAUCUCCUCGGGGGCCUUCCCCUUGUCUAAAGGUUACCCACUCCCCUUGGCUAUGGGUCCUUCCUCUCUCACCAAAACCACAGAACAGCAUCUUCUCUCUCCUCUGACCCUUUCUUCUGAAGUAAAAAAUUAGGUCAUUAUGUCCAUUCCUAUA